UUUCGACCCUGUCGAUGCGCGUCAAAUGUAUCCAAACUCUACUCGUUCGGGCCGGGUACCCACGGGAUCCCAUGUUGACAUGAAAGAAUAAAAGCACACACUACUGGUAUUAGAAUUUUCCAAUUUCCAUCUCUACGCUCUGUUUUCCUUUCUUUUUUUCUUUUUGCCCUAGACGCGUAAGAAACUUGCAGCCAGAUAUAAGUCGGGGAGGGGCCGGAGGGAGGCGAAAGAAGAAGCCAAGCAAACCAAGCGGAGAGCAGAGCAGACGGCCGGCCGGACGGGGGGACGAACCAAUCCAACCAGCCAAGCUCGUCAGCACGCGGCGCAGCAGCCCAGCUACCCUUGCCGCAAGAUAAACCAUGGGUGGGGUACUUGGUUUGAUACAGAUUGAUCAAUCAACUGUAGCCAUCAAGGAGACUUUUGGGAAGUUUGAUGCGAUCCUGCAACCUGGAUGCCACUGCUUGCCAUGGUGCCUAGGGCAGCAGAUUGCUGGGUAUCUUUCUCUGCGUGUGCAGCAGCUUGACGUCCGAUGCGAAACCAAGACCAAGGACAAUGUCUUUGUCAACGUUGUGGCAUCUGUGCAGUACCGUGCUCUUGCUGACAAGGCAUCUGAUGCCUUUUACAGGCUUAGCAACACCAGGGAGCAAAUCCAGUCCUAUGUCUUUGACGUGAUCAGGGCUAGCGUUCCAAAGAUGAACUUGGAUGAUGUAUUUGAGCAGAAGAAUGAAAUAGCAAGGGCUGUGGAGGAUGAACUUGAAAAGGCAAUGUCUGCCUACGGGUACGAGAUUGUGCAAACUCUGAUUGUUGAUAUUGAGCCAGAUGAACAUGUGAAGAGAGCCAUGAAUGAGAUCAAUGCAGCUGCUAGGAUGAGGUUGGCAGCCACUGAGAAAGCGGAAGCGGAGAAGAUACUCCAGAUCAAGAGGGCUGAAGGUGAGGCAGAAUCGAAGUACUUGGCUGGUGUGGGUAUUGCAAGGCAGCGCCAGGCCAUAGUGGACGGGCUGAGAGACAGUGUUCUCGCCUUCUCUGAGAAUGUGCCUGGGACCUCUUCGAAGGAUGUCAUGGAUAUGGUUUUGGUGACGCAGUACUUCGAUACCAUGAAGGACAUUGGGGCCUCUUCCAAGUCUUCAGCAGUGUUCAUCCCUCACGGGCCUGGCGCUGUCAAAGACAUCGCUUCGCAGAUACGAGAUGGUCAGCUCCAGGGCAGGAUGGUUUGAGGAGUGUUGGAAAAUGGAUGCCACUUUUAUACGCAUACUUUUAAGUACAUACAGCUUAUUCUUAUACUAUGUGUGAGGUGAGGUUGUGCCUAGAUGGAUGUUAAUAUCAGUACUUGCUUGGAUUGUGCCACUCGUUUCUGUAAAAAAUAUAAGUUGUGCUAUCACUGCGUUCACCACUAUUUGUGAAUUGAGUGUGUUAUAUGGUUAUUAUACUAUAAUUUCUAUGUUGCUACUAGUAUUUUCAUUCAAAUCUUGGAAACCUUGGAAUUUUGGAGAUUGUUCUGAAGCUCCUCCCACUGAGGCCCCCAGUUUCUCGUUCUUACUACUUAUGAUAUGUUCUUUGGUAUUUAGAUUUUGUGUGCGUUCAUCGUAUUGUCAUGUGAAGCGCAGUUCAUUGUAUUGUCAUGUGAGCAGCAAUGGCCAGCAGAGUUUCACACUCUGCUCCUCACUUAAUGAAAAAACAAAUGCAAACUUCGAUACAUCAAUACCAAAGAUCUUUAAGAGGUACAUUCAUGCCACAGUUUACCACGGAUUCGAUACAAGGUGGACACUUGUGUGCACCAAAUCUAGAUGA
This 1788-nucleotide ribosomal RNA is filed under the name Triticum aestivum (bread wheat). RNAcentral describes it as "partial small subunit ribosomal RNA". Lineage: Eukaryota; Viridiplantae; Streptophyta; Magnoliopsida; Poales; Poaceae. The record is from RNAcentral.